UGCGUAAAGAUCAGCUGGAACCCGGCUGGAAGACGCCCCCCUGGACCCUCCUGGCCCUCAGGUGCGAUACCGUCGAGGGCUUCCCGGGUUCGAUACCCUGUGCCCCCUCGCCGGGCCCCAUGUCGACUUGGAGGUAGAGCCCUUGAGGCGUGGCUUCCGGAGCUAACGCGUUAAGUCGACCGCCUGGGGAGUACGGCCGCAAGGUUAAAACUCAAAUGAAUUGACGGGGGCCCGCACAAGCGGUGGAGCAUGUGGUUUAAUUCGAUGCAACGCGAAGAAACCUUACCUACUCUUGACAUCCAGAGAACUUUCCAGAGAUGCUUUGGUGCCUUCGGGAACUCUGAGACAGGUGCUGCAUGGCUGUCGUCAGCUCGUGUUGUGAAAUGUUGGGUUAAAGUCCCGCAACGAGCGCAACCCUUAUCCUUUGUUGCCAGCGGUUCGGCCGGGAACUCAAAUGAGACUGCCAAGUGAUAGAACUGGAGGGAAGUGGGAUGACGUCGAGGUCAUCAUGGCCCUUACGAAGUAGAGGCUACACACGUGCUACAAAUGGCAUAUACAAAGAGAAAUCGACCUCGCAAGAUCAAGCUGUACCUCAUAAGUAUGUCGUAGUCCGGAUAGAAAUCUGCAACUCAACUCCAUGCAGACGGGAUCUCUGGUAAUCGUCGACAGAUGCUAACGAUGAAUACGUUCCCAGGACCUUGUACCCACCGUCCGUGCCAUCGAUGGUAUUGGACUAGCCAGAGAGGAGGUAGC
Molecule: ribosomal RNA, 753 nt
Filed under: Klebsiella sp.
Lineage: Bacteria; Pseudomonadati; Pseudomonadota; Gammaproteobacteria; Enterobacterales; Enterobacteriaceae
Description: bacterial SSU rRNA
Rfam family: Bacterial small subunit ribosomal RNA
Source: RNAcentral